CAGGAUUAUUUCUAGGUUUGUCAGAAGGAACUACAAGGCAGGUAACAAAGAGCAAGAAUGAAAAACAAACAAACAACCUAGUCCUGUUCUCUGCUAUAUACCCAUUAUUUUCAUCUCCACCCAUAAAUCAAGAAGAGGAGGAUCACUUGAUUUAUAUUGACUUUGUUACCAGAAGUUAUGUAAUCUGAAGAAUUAAUUUAACUUCCUUGAUGUAUUUUUGCUUAAUAAAAUAUCAAAUCAACAAUA
Cricetulus griseus (Chinese hamster) is the source of this 246-nucleotide non-coding RNA. The record is from RefSeq and is a predicted model, not a curated record. NCBI's taxonomy places the organism in Eukaryota, Metazoa, Chordata, Mammalia, Rodentia, Cricetidae.